CAGUAGCCGCGGGAAUACGUAGGGUGCAAGCGUUAAUCGGAAUUACUGGGCGUAAAGCGUGCGCAGGCGGUUAUAUAAGACAGAUGUGAAAUCCCCGGGCUCAACCUGGGAACUGCAUUUGUGACUGUAUAGCUAGAGUACGGCAGAGGGGGAUGGAAUUCCGCGUGUAGCAGUGAAAUGCGUAGAUAUGCGGAGGAACACCGAUGGCGAAGGCAAUCCCCUGGGCCUGUACUGACGCUCAUGCACGAAAGCGUGGGGAGCAAACAGGAUUAGAUACCCGCGUAGUCCCUGUCUCUUAAAC
This 301-nucleotide ribosomal RNA is filed under the name uncultured bacterium. Its description in RNAcentral is "partial 16S ribosomal RNA". It matches the Rfam family "Bacterial small subunit ribosomal RNA", at positions 509 to 807 of the family's 1533-position model. The record is from RNAcentral.